Molecule: ribosomal RNA, 360 nt
Filed under: Triticum aestivum (bread wheat)
Lineage: Eukaryota; Viridiplantae; Streptophyta; Magnoliopsida; Poales; Poaceae
Description: partial small subunit ribosomal RNA
Source: RNAcentral
AUGGUUUUGGUAUCCGCCCCCGUCAGCCCUCGUCCUGUCUAUGAUUCGGAUGUGGGGGUUGUUGAACCGGAAAUUCCAACCGACCCUAUUGUUGAGAGGUUAAAUUUAGUUGAAGAAGAAAACAAUUUGUUGAAGGAAAAAAUUAGAAAAAUUGAGGAGGAGAAGAUGAUAUUGGAGUUGCAUGUUGUGGAUGUCGUCGAUGAUCACAAGAUCAAGAUGGAUGCAAUGCGCUUGAAGAUUAGAAAGAUUAGAAAAUAUGCCAUUCAUACCGAGGCUUGGUAUCAUUAUGCUGUUGGAUCAGUUGUUACAUUGAUUGCGAUUAUGAUCGCAUUUGUUUUCGCAUUGAAAUGUUUUACAUAG